RNAcentral lists this ribosomal RNA (528 nucleotides) under Phaeolus schweinitzii. RNAcentral's name for it is "partial small subunit ribosomal RNA". It matches the Rfam family "Bacterial small subunit ribosomal RNA", at positions 386 to 945 of the family's 1533-position model. The record is from RNAcentral. Lineage: Eukaryota; Fungi; Basidiomycota; Agaricomycetes; Polyporales; Phaeolaceae.
ACUGAGNNACACUANNNUUGAAACCGUUAAUUGUGAUGUGUGAACGAAGCUAACUGAAAUCAAAACCGGUGUCCGGUAUGAUGUCGUAAAUGAAAAAAUGAUAUUAAUUUACUAAUAGUGUCGNCAAAAACUGGUGCCAGCAGACUCGGUAAGACCAGAGACGCAAACGUUAAUCAUCUUAAUCAGGCGUAAAGGGUUUGUAGGCGGCUUUAAAGUUAAAUAAUUAAAGCUUGAAUCUAAUCGAGGUAAGAAGAAUAAUUAGUGUAGGGAUCAAAUCCAUAGAUACUAAUUAGAAUACUAAAGGCGAAAGCAUCUUGCCAAUAUUGAUUGACGCUGAGAAACGAAAGGUAGAGAAGGCAAUAGGAUUAGAUACCCUAGACACUUCUACCGGUAAACGAUGAAUGGUAAUCCCUAGUUAAUUAAAUUAGAGAUGAGGUUAACACGUUAACCAUUCCGCCUUGUGAGUACGAUUGCCAAAUCGAAAACCAAAAAAUUAGGCGGUCUCGAAGCAANCGAANNNAACAUGGC